AUCGGAACCUGCAGACACUCGUGGAGGCGUC
RNAcentral lists this non-coding RNA (31 nucleotides) under Homo sapiens (human). Lineage: Eukaryota; Metazoa; Chordata; Mammalia; Primates; Hominidae. The record is from RNAcentral.